CCUAGGUAGCACAGAAGUCUGGUGUGACUUUUAUCCACACACCAGGUGCCAAUGGAGUCCUGAUGAGGAAAUGAUAUUAGCUGGACGCAGCUCUGGCCUGGUUGGAGUGUCGCCACCGUGUCGUCUCUCCACAGCUGACUGGCCAGUGCUCUGCUGGGAUCUCCCCGUGUUGAGAUUGGGUCCGGAGGUAGCUGCUCCUUCGCCUUCUGUUCUGUCUCCCUCUACGGUGGCUUCUACCUAGGGUUCAGAUCUUUAGAGCUGCCCCCAUUGGACCUCAAAGGUGUCUGAGACUCCGGGCCCCUUCAUCAGCCACGGUGGAUUCUACGGCUGGCUCGGGUCCACCGUGCCCCUCCUCCAAUCGGUCAUCGAGGGGUCUUCUAAACCAUUUGAGGCGAAAGACUGUCCGGACCUCCUAAGCCAUUUCACAAGCUGUCAUCACCGACAGCUAUAUAAUAAGAAACAUCUUGGUUCCCAGGGCAAAAACCCUGUACUCUCCUGGAGCACGAGUACAGGAUAUUACACGGCUGCUUCCUGCCGUUCUACAACAGCUGCCGGGGGACCUUAUACAGACAGGUGUGCGCCUUUACAAAUCAAGUCCAAUCAAUUGAAUUUACCACAGGUGGAGUCCAAUAAAGUUGUAGAA
Oncorhynchus mykiss (rainbow trout) is the source of this 643-nucleotide long non-coding RNA. RefSeq lists it as uncharacterized. The record is from RefSeq and is a predicted model, not a curated record. Lineage: Eukaryota; Metazoa; Chordata; Actinopteri; Salmoniformes; Salmonidae.